Molecule: ribosomal RNA, 463 nt
Filed under: Vreelandella stevensii
Lineage: Bacteria; Pseudomonadati; Pseudomonadota; Gammaproteobacteria; Oceanospirillales; Halomonadaceae
Description: partial 16S ribosomal RNA
Rfam family: Bacterial small subunit ribosomal RNA
Source: RNAcentral
CCUCGGAGGCAGCAGUGGGGAAUAUUGGACAAUGGGCGAAAGCCUGAUCCAGCCAUGCCGCGUGUGUGAAGAAGGCCUUCGGGUUGUAAAGCACUUUCAGUGGGGAAGAAAGCCUUGGGGCUAAUACCCUCGAGGAAGGACAUCACCCACAGAAGAAGCACCGGCUAACUCCGUGCCAGCAGCCGCGGUAAUACGGAGGGUGCGAGCGUUAAUCGGAAUUACUGGGCGUAAAGCGCGCGUAGGCGGUCUGAUAAGCCGGUUGUGAAAGCCCCGGGCUCAACCUGGGAACGGCAUCCGGAACUGUCAGGCUAGAGUGCAGGAGAGGAAGGUAGAAUUCCCGGUGUAGCGGUGAAAUGCGUAGAGAUCGGGAGGAAUACCAGUGGCGAAGGCGGCCUUCUGGACUGACACUGACGCUGAGGUGCGAAAGCGUGGGUAGCAAACAGGAUUAGAUACCCUGGUAGUC